Molecule: ribosomal RNA, 253 nt
Filed under: uncultured bacterium
Lineage: Bacteria
Description: partial 16S ribosomal RNA
Rfam family: Bacterial small subunit ribosomal RNA
Source: RNAcentral
UACGUAGGGCGCAAGCGUUGUCCGGAAUUAUUGGGCGUAAAGAGCUCGUAGGCGGCUUGUCACGUCGGAUGUGAAAGCCCGGGGCUUAACUCCGGGUCUGCAUUCGAUACGGGCAGGCUAGAGUGUGGUAGGGGAGAUCGGAAUUCCUGGUGUAGCGGUGAAAUGCGCAGAUAUCAGGAGGAACACCGGUGGCGAAGGCGGAUCUCUGGGCCAUUACUGACGCUGAGGAGCGAAAGCGUGGGGAGCGAACAGG